AUAAGGAUGACUUUCUUGCCAUUUGAGUUUAUGUAUGGAUGAAAUAUUCUUGCAACACCUCUAAGAAGUGCUGAAUGU
Molecule: small nucleolar RNA, 78 nt
Organism: Lytechinus variegatus (green sea urchin)
Lineage: Eukaryota; Metazoa; Echinodermata; Echinoidea; Temnopleuroida; Toxopneustidae
Product: small nucleolar RNA SNORD61
Exons: 1
Source: RefSeq, a predicted model, not a curated record